This 524-nucleotide ribosomal RNA is filed under the name uncultured bacterium. RNAcentral describes it as "bacterial SSU rRNA". It matches the Rfam family "Bacterial small subunit ribosomal RNA", at positions 355 to 896 of the family's 1533-position model. The record is from RNAcentral.
UGGGGAAUAUUGGACAAUGGACCAAGAGUCUGAUCCAGCAAUUCUGUGUGCACGAUGACGUUUUUCGGAAUGUAAAGUGCUUUCAGUUGGGAAGAAGAAAAUGACGGUACCAACAGAAGAAGUGACGGCUAAAUACGUGCCAGCAGCCGCGGUAAUACGUAUGUCACGAGCGUUAUCCGGAUUUAUUGGGCGUAAAGCGCGUCUAGGUGGUUAUGUAAGUCUGAUGUGAAAAUGCAGGGCUCAACUCUGUAUUGCGUUGGAAACUGUGUAACUAGAGUACUGGAGAGGUAAGCGGAACUACAAGUGUAGAGGUGAAAUUCGUAGAUAUUUGUAGGAAUGCCGAUGGGGAAGCCAGCUUACUGGACAGAUACUGACGCUGAAGCGCGAAAGCGUGGGUAGCAAACAGGAUUAGAUACCCUGGUAGUCCACGCCGUAAACGAUGAUUACUAGGUGUUGGGGGUCGAACCUCAGCGCCCAAGCAAACGCGAUAAGUAAUCCGCCUGGGGAGUACGUACGCAAGUAUG